AGAGGAAGUAAAAGUCGUAACAAGGUCUCCGUAGGUGAACCUGCGGAGGGAUCAUUACCGAGCGAGGGCCCCCGGGCCCGACCUCCCACCCCCUGACAAACGACCGGUUUGCCUCGGGGGCGACCCGGCCGUCCGGAAGGAGAGAGCCGGGUGCCCCCGGAGGACACUCACUCUGCGUCUUUGCGUCGGAGUCCGAAAGAAAAUCGCAAGCAAAACUUUCAACAACGGAUCUCUUGGUUCUGGCAUCGAUGAAGAACGCAGCGAAAUGCGAUAAGUAAUGUGAAUUGCAGAAUUCAGUGAAUCAUCGAAUCUUUGAACGCACAUUGCGCCCUUUGGUAUUCCGAGGGGCAUGCCCGUUCGAGCGUCAUUUCAACAAAUCAAGCCUGGCUUGGUGUUGGGCCCCCGGGGGUGACCCGGAGCCCCAAUGUCCGCCGGCCGGACGACCCGGACCCCAGCGUUGUGUUUUAUUCAAUCCGCUGGCGGGGAAGGGCGGUCGCGCCGUCAGUAACAAACUCACGAAAGAUUGACCUCGGAUCGGGCAGGGAUACCCGCUGAACUUAAGCAUAUCAAUAAGCGGA
Molecule: ribosomal RNA, 578 nt
Filed under: uncultured fungus
Lineage: Eukaryota; Fungi
Description: eukaryotic LSU rRNA
Rfam family: 5.8S ribosomal RNA (bases 214-367)
Source: RNAcentral